AUGACUGAUGACUGUAAGUUGCUUUGGAUAAAAGCGUAUGCUAAAUGGCAUAUA
This is a non-coding RNA of Salmo salar (Atlantic salmon), 54 nucleotides long. The record is from Rfam. Lineage: Eukaryota; Metazoa; Chordata; Actinopteri; Salmoniformes; Salmonidae.